AUUGAACGCUGGCGGCAGGCUUAACACAUGCAAGUCGAGCGGGGUGAUGGUGCUUGCACUAUCUCUUAGCGGCGGACGGGUGAGUAAUGCUUAGGAAUCUGCCUAUCAGUGGGGGACAACAUCUCGAAAGGGAUGCUAAUACCGCAUACGUCCUACGGGAGAAAGCAGGGGAUCACUUGUGACCUUGCGCUAAUAGAUGAGCCUAAGUCGGAUUAGCUAGUUGGUGGGGUAAAGGCCUACCAAGGCGACGAUCUGUAGCGGGUCUGAGAGGAUGAUCCGCCACACUGGGACUGAGACACGGCCCAGACUCCUACGGGAGGCAGCAGUGGGGAAUAUUGGACAAUGGGGGGAACCCUGAUCCAGCCAUGCCGCGUGUGUGAAGAAGGCCUUAUGGUUGUAAAGCACUUUAAGCGAGGAGGAGGCUCUUUUGGUUAAUACCCAAGAUGAGUGGACGUUACUCGCAGAAUAAGCACCGGCUAACUCUGUGCCAGCCGCCGCAGUAA
This 503-nucleotide ribosomal RNA is filed under the name uncultured bacterium. RNAcentral's name for it is "partial 16S ribosomal RNA". It matches the Rfam family "Bacterial small subunit ribosomal RNA", at positions 30 to 523 of the family's 1533-position model. The record is from RNAcentral.